CAAGUCGAGCGGUAACAGGUGUAGCAAUACAUGCCUGACGAGCGGCAGACGGGUGAGGAACACGCUACGCAACUUUCCUUAAACCGGGGCACAACCCUUGAGAAAUCAGGGCUAAUUCCCCAUAACAUUGCGAGAGGGCAUCUGAUUGCAAUUAAAGAUUCGUCGGUUUGAGAUGGGCGUGCGUUCGAUUAGCUAGUUGGUAGGGUAACGGCUUACCAAGGCAACGAUCGAUAGCUGGUGUGAGAGCACGACCAGCCACACGGGCACUGAGAUACGGGCCCGACUCCUACGGGAGGCAGCAGUAAGGAAUAUUGGUCAAUGGACGAAAGUCUGAACCAGCCAUGCCGCGUGAGGGAUGAAGGUCCUCUGGAUUGUAAACCUCUUUUAUCUAUGAAGAAAUGUCCUGUUUCUACGGGAUUUGACGGUAAUAGAUGAAUAAGCACCGGCUAACUCCGUGCCAGCAGCCGCGGUAAUACGGAGGGUGCAAGCGUUAUCCGGAUUUACUGGGUUUAAAGGGUGCGUAGGUGGGUUGGGAAGUCANUGGUGAAAUACUUUCACUUAACGAAGGAACUGCCAUUGAUACUAUCAAUCUUGAAUACAGUGGAGGUAGGCCGAAUGCGUCAUGUAACGGUGAAAUGCUUACAUAUGACGCA
Molecule: ribosomal RNA, 653 nt
Filed under: uncultured Bacteroidota bacterium
Lineage: Bacteria; Pseudomonadati; Bacteroidota
Description: bacterial SSU rRNA
Rfam family: Bacterial small subunit ribosomal RNA
Source: RNAcentral